CAGCAAAUAGUUUAUAUAAAAUUUUAAUUUUGGAUAUUAAAGAAAUUUCAUCUUUUUUGCUGA
Molecule: transfer RNA, 63 nt
Filed under: Purohita sinica
Lineage: Eukaryota; Metazoa; Arthropoda; Insecta; Hemiptera; Delphacidae
Description: tRNA-Pro
Source: RNAcentral